UGGAAACCAAGUUUCCUGUCCUGGGAAAAGCAGUGGUGUGGAAGAGCAGUGGAAAGAGAUGAGUAACAGACUAUCUUCAGCCUAUACCCACUGGAGUGCAUUAUGAAGCAUUGGGACUCCCAUGACCCCAGGACUUUGAAGAAAAAGUGCUAAUUUUCUUUGCACAAAGCUGUGAGACAAUGGAACUCGAGUGUUACUCCAGACAUCGAAGCUAUUUUAUUAUGAAAGCAUACUUCUGAUUAUGCAGUCUCCUGCUUAAAUUUUUUAAAUGGCUUUCCAUUAGAAUGAAAUGUAAAAGUCCUUUAUGCCCUGAAAGCCUACACCAGUUGACUCCUAGCUUCAUCUGUGAGUAUCUUAUUUCUUUUCUUACUAUACCAUAAUGACUGUAUCAGCUAGGGUUGAUUGUUGCAUAAGCCACAGAAGUAAAUUCUGUGCAAUUUAAGCAAAAAGGGGGAAUAUAUUACCUAUUUUUGCUUGUUGCAGAGAAUUAAGUGCAAUGCCUGUCUCGUAAUUCUGGAAGGACAGAAAUAAGCUUAGUUUUAAGAGUUAGAUGAACAAGAAUUAACUAAUAGGCUUCAUUUUACUACCAUUGGACUAACAUAGGUCUGACCGUUUUCUGCCCUUUUAAGUACAUGUUUAAAGUUUAAACACCCAAGAGAAACUAUUAUUGUCUUGGCAUGGGUCACAUGUUCAGCCAUGGGCCAAGAGGGUAUGAAAUGUGGGAGGCACAAUUCACAGAUAGAAAAUAUAAUGCUAUUUGGGAAAGAAUAUAAUGCUAUUUGAAAGGAAUUCUGAGUAAGUAAAAACAACAGAAAUUGUUUCUAAGGAUUUCUUAUUAGUCGAUGCAUCACUUUUGCAGAGAUACCUGCUCUAAACUGUUAAUCUCAGUGGUCAUCUUUUAAAAUUCUGUCAAAGCACAUUUUAACUUUUUGUUGGGAACAGACCCCCCAAAAUUUGGCCAUAAACUGGUCCCAAAACUGGUCAUAAACAAAAUCUCUGCAGUACUGUGACAUGUUCAUGAUGGCCAUGAUGCCCAUGCUGGAAGAUUGUGGGUUUACUGGAA
This is a non-coding RNA of Chlorocebus sabaeus (green monkey), 1063 nucleotides long. The record is from RefSeq and is a predicted model, not a curated record. NCBI's taxonomy places the organism in Eukaryota, Metazoa, Chordata, Mammalia, Primates, Cercopithecidae.